RNAcentral lists this transfer RNA (71 nucleotides) under Wakea madinika. Its description in RNAcentral is "tRNA-Gln". It matches the Rfam family "tRNA". From Rfam's summary of the family: Transfer RNA (tRNA) molecules are approximately 80 nucleotides in length. Their secondary structure includes four short double-helical elements and three loops (D, anti-codon, and T loops). The record is from RNAcentral. Lineage: Eukaryota; Metazoa; Chordata; Amphibia; Anura; Mantellidae.
UAAGAAGAAGUAUAAAGGAAGUACAAAGAAUUUUGAGUUCUUAGGUGUAGGUUCAACUCCUGCCUUUUUAA